This is an RNA transcript of Magnolia sinica, 1760 nucleotides long. RefSeq lists it as uncharacterized. The transcript has 3 exons. The record is from RefSeq and is a predicted model, not a curated record. Lineage: Eukaryota; Viridiplantae; Streptophyta; Magnoliopsida; Magnoliales; Magnoliaceae.
UUCUAUGGUUUGUCUAUUGAACUCAUCUCGUCUCAUGUAUCAACACGUUUUGCUUGGUGCUAAACUAUGUCAUGAAUAUUUACCAUAUGAUAACAUUCUCCUUAACUAUGCCAUUCAUUACAACAGAGUUACUAGGGAGCCCAUGUUGGAGGAAUGGACCAGCACGGCUGAACUCUGUGACAGGUUACAUGAUCCUGUCAGAAUUGCCAUGGUCGGAAAAUAUACUGGCCUUUCAGAUUCUUACCUCUCUGUGUUGAAGGUGAAUGCUUUUGUCACUCUGUAUUUCCACUUUCCAAAGCAUUGAGGCAAUUGUUGUUCAUGUCUUAUUUCCAUACGCAGUUGUCCAUCCCAUUUUACUGUAAAUUACUGUCAGUGUGUUGGUUGUCCAUCCCUUAAAAUCAAUUGUUUCCAGGUACCUGAUCCAGUGGUUGUUGGAAGGUGUUAAAACAUUGUUGGUUUUGUAAAUAUUGUAGUAGAAUAUUGAGGAUAGGAACCCACAUAAAUGCAUUGCAUUUAUAUAUAAUCUAAGUAGUUUGCGGCCUUUUUCACUCCAAAAGAAUGACAGAAGAUAGUCCAUUAUGUUCAAGUAAGUUUCACGCUCAAAAUGAUUAUUCUUCAUCCUUGAGAAUAAGUUUCAACAUAGACCAAAGGAAAAGUGCAUCAAGCAACUACAAGCGGAACAUGAUCCGUUGCUCCACAAGGUUCCAAUGCCUUAUUAGUUUUUAAAUCCUUGUUCACAUAUCCCUUUCAUCCCAUUAGUCUCACCCCUUUCAGUACCUUAUCUCGCAUCAAGCCCCAACAAGCCCCAACUUGAAAACAUCUACCACAUAAGUGGGUUAAACCUCCUACCUAAUAUCGUCUGGACUCCACAUCACAUCCACCUCAUCACACCCUCCGAAGGAAUCAAAUCCAACAUUUUAGCAUCUACCCACCCACUUGUUGAAUCUAUUAGGAUUAGGGUGUUAAACCAACUUUUUCGCCAUGAACAAUUUUUCUGGGAUCAACUGCAGCAGGUGCAUGCAUGUUUGUGCUUUGUAUAUAAUAAGAACAUAUAUUCAAUAUCUAAAUUAGUCUCUUUUUCUUUGUGCGGUACAAGAUGAUGCAGUGCUUCAGUUUCUAAUUUAGAUGUGCAAGACCUUUUGCAUGCUUCUAUUGUUUGCCACAGGAAACUUAUAGUGGAGUGGGUUCCAGCGACUGACUUAGAAAACACAACUACAAAAGAGGUUUAAUGAUUGUAACUUCAAGCCAUCUACUUCUGUUUAUCAUAGUCACUUGAGUUGACACAAUUUCCAACAUUUUCUCUUUGCAGGCGCUCGAUGUUUAUAUUGUUGCAUGGAGGCUGUUGAGGGGUGCAGAUGGCGUUUUAGUCUUGGGGGCUUUAGUAACCAAGGGGUGCAAGGGAAAAUCCUAGCUGUAAAAUAAGCACGAGAAAACAAUAAACCAUUUUUCGGCAUUUGUUUAGGGAUGCAAAUUGUUGUGAUUGAGUACUCAUGUUUGUUCUUGGUCUGCAAGAUGCAAACGGUACAAAGUUUGAUCUAGACACAAAAAACCCAUGUGUUAUUUUUAUGCCAAAGGUGGAUUUGGGUUUUAUCCCCUCUCAUUCUUUAAGUCUUUUAUUUCUGUUGUUUUAUUGCACCUAGCAAGCUGUGUUAUGUAACAGAGAAUCAUAUCAUACACAAGGUUCGAAAAAUCAUAUGGGAUGGACCAUGCGUCUUGGAUCGAGAAGAACAUAUUUCGAGAUCAUUGAUUGCAAAUCUGCA